This 253-nucleotide ribosomal RNA is filed under the name uncultured bacterium. RNAcentral describes it as "partial 16S ribosomal RNA". It matches the Rfam family "Bacterial small subunit ribosomal RNA", at positions 524 to 776 of the family's 1533-position model. The record is from RNAcentral.
UACAGAGGGGGCAAGCGUUAUUCGGAAUUAUUGGGCGUAAAGAGCUCGUAGGCGGUUUGUCGCGUCUGCUGUGAAAUCCCGAGGCUCAACCUCGGGUCUGCAGUGGGUACGGGCAGACUGGAGUGCGGUAGGGGAGAAUGGAAUUCCUGGUGUAGCGGUGGAAUGCGCAGAUAUCAGGAGGAACACCGAUGGCGAAGGCAGUUCUCUGGGCCGUAACUGACGCUGAGGAGCGAAAGCCAGGGGAGCAAACGGG